UACGGAGGGUCCGAGCGUUAUCCGGAAUUAUUGGGUUUAAAGGGUCCGUAGGCGGAUGAUUAAGUCAGGGGUGAAAGUUUGCAGCUCAACUGUAAAAUUGCCUUUGAUACUGUUAGACUUGAGUUAUUGUGAAGUAGUUAGAAUGUGUGGUGUAGCGGUGAAAUGCAUAGAUAUCACACAGAAUACCGAUUGCGAAGGCAGAUCACUAACUAUAUAUUGACGCUGAGGGACGAAAGCGUGGGGAGCGAACGGG
This 253-nucleotide ribosomal RNA is filed under the name uncultured bacterium. RNAcentral describes it as "partial 16S ribosomal RNA". It matches the Rfam family "Bacterial small subunit ribosomal RNA", at positions 524 to 776 of the family's 1533-position model. The record is from RNAcentral.